AUUGAACGCUGGCGGCAGGCCUAACACAUGCAAGUCGAACGGUAACAGGAAGCAGCUUGCUGCUUCGCUGACGAGUGGCGGACGGGUGAGUAAUGUCUGGGAAGCUGCCUGAUGGAGGGGGAUAACUACUGGAAACGGUAGCUAAUACCGCAUAAUGUCGCAAGACCAAAGAGGGGGACCUUCGGGCCUCUUGCCAUCGGAUGUGCCCAGAUGGUAUUAGCUUGUUGGUGGGGUAACGGCUCACCAAGGCGACGAUCCCUAGCUGGUCUGAGAGGAUGACCACCCACACUGGGACUGGGACACGGUCCAGACUCCUGCGAGAGGCAGCAGUGGGGAAUAUUGCACAGUGGGCGCAAGCCUGAUGCAGCCAUGCCGCGUGUAUGAAGAAGGCCUUCGGGUUGUAAAGUACUUUCAGCGGGGAGGAAGGGAGUAAAGUUAAUACCUUGGCUCAUUGACGUUACCCGCAGAAGAAGCACCGGCUAACUCCGUG
Molecule: ribosomal RNA, 490 nt
Filed under: uncultured bacterium
Lineage: Bacteria
Description: partial 16S ribosomal RNA
Rfam family: Bacterial small subunit ribosomal RNA
Source: RNAcentral